GGGUUGUGAGGUUAAGCGACUAAGCGUACACGGUGGAUGCCCUGGCAGUCAGAGGCGAUGAAGGACGUGCUAAUCUGCGAUAAGCGUCGGUAAGGUGAUAUGAACCGUUAUAACCGGCGAUUUCCGAAUGGGGAAACCCAGUGUGAUUCGUCACACUAUCAUUAACUGAAUCCAUAGGUUAAUGAGGCGAACCGGGGGAACUGAAACAUCUAAGUACCCCGAGGAAAAGAAAUCAACCGAGAUUCCCCCAGUAGCGGCGAGCGAACGGGGAGGAGCCCAGAGCCUGAAUCAGUGUGUGUGUUAGUGGAAGCGUCUGGAAAGGCGCGCGAUACAGGGUGACAGCCCCGUACACAAAAAUGCACAUACUGUGAGCUCGAUGAGUAGGGCGGGACACGUGGUAUCCUGUCUGAAUAUGGGGGGACCAUCCUCCAAGGCUAAAUACUCCUGACUGACCGAUAGUGAACCAGUACCGUGAGGGAAAGGCGAAAAGAACCCCGGCGAGGGGAGUGAAAAAGAACCUGAAACCGUGUACGUACAAGCAGUGGGAGCACGCUUCGGCGUGUGACUGCGUACCUUUUGUAUAAUGGGUCAGCGACUUAUAUUCUGUAGCAAGGUUAACCGAAUAGGGGAGCCGAAGGGAAACCGAGUCUUAACUGGGCGUUAAGUUGCAGGGUAUAGACCCGAAACCCGGUGAUCUAGCCAUGGGCAGGUUGAAGGUUGGGUAACACUAACUGGAGGACCGAACCGACUAAUGUUGAAAAAUUAGCGGAUGACUUGUGGCUGGGGGUGAAAGGCCAAUCAAACCGGGAGAUAGCUGGUUCUCCCCGAAAGCUAUUUAGGUAGCGCCUCGUGAAUUCAUCUCCGGGGGUAGAGCACUGUUUCGGCAAGGGGGUCAUCCCGACUUACCAACCCGAUGCAAACUGCGAAUACCGGAGAAUGUUAUCACGGGAGACACACGGCGGGUGCUAACGUCCGUCGUGAAGAGGGAAACAACCCAGACCGCCAGCUAAGGUCCCAAAGUCAUGGUUAAGUGGGAAACGAUGUGGGAAGGCCCAGACAGCCAGGAUGUUGGCUUAGAAGCAGCCAUCAUUUAAAGAAAGCGUAAUAGCUCACUGGUCGAGUCGGCCUGCGCGGAAGAUGUAACGGGGCUAAACCAUGCACCGAAGCUGCGGCAGCGACACUAUGUGUUGUUGGGUAGGGGAGCGUUCUGUAAGCCUGUGAAGGUGUACUGUGAGGUAUGCUGGAGGUAUCAGAAGUGCGAAUGCUGACAUAAGUAACGAUAAAGCGGGUGAAAAGCCCGCUCGCCGGAAGACCAAGGGUUCCUGUCCAACGUUAAUCGGGGCAGGGUGAGUCGACCCCUAAGGCGAGGCCGAAAGGCGUAGUCGAUGGGAAACAGGUUAAUAUUCCUGUACUUGGUGUUACUGCGAAGGGGGGACGGAGAAGGCUAUGUUGGCCGGGCGACGGUUGUCCCGGUUUAAGCGUGUAGGCUGGUUUUCCAGGCAAAUCCGGAAAAUCAAGGCUGAGGCGUGAUGACGAGGCACUACGGUGCUGAAGCAACAAAUGCCCUGCUUCCAGGAAAAGCCUCUAAGCAUCAGGUAACAUCAAAUCGUACCCCAAACCGACACAGGUGGUCAGGUAGAGAAUACCAAGGCGCUUGAGAGAACUCGGGUGAAGGAACUAGGCAAAAUGGUGCCGUAACUUCGGGAGAAGGCACGCUGAUAUGUAGGUGAAGCGACUUGCUCGUGGAGCUGAAAUCAGUCGAAGAUACCAGCUGGCUGCAACUGUUUAUUAAAAACACAGCACUGUGCAAACACGAAAGUGGACGUAUACGGUGUGACGCCUGCCCGGUGCCGGAAGGUUAAUUGAUGGGGUUAGCGCAAGCGAAGCUCUUGAUCGAAGCCCCGGUAAACGGCGGCCGUAACUAUAACGGUCCUAAGGUAGCGAAAUUCCUUGUCGGGUAAGUUCCGACCUGCACGAAUGGCGUAAUGAUGGCCAGGCUGUCUCCACCCGAGACUCAGUGAAAUUGAACUCGCUGUGAAGAUGCAGUGUACCCGCGGCAAGACGGAAAGACCCCGUGAACCUUUACUAUAGCUUGACACUGAACAUUGAGCCUUGAUGUGUAGGAUAGGUGGGAGGCUUUGAAGUGUGGACGCCAGUCUGCAUGGAGCCGACCUUGAAAUACCACCCUUUAAUGUUUGAUGUUCUAACGUUGGCCCCUGAUCGGGGUUGCGGACAGUGUCUGGUGGGUAGUUUGACUGGGGCGGUCUCCUCCUAAAGAGUAACGGAGGAGCACGAAGGUUGGCUAAUCCUGGUCGGACAUCAGGAGGUUAGUGCAAUGGCAUAAGCCAGCUUGACUGCGAGCGUGACGGCGCGAGCAGGUGCGAAAGCAGGUCAUAGUGAUCCGGUGGUUCUGAAUGGAAGGGCCAUCGCUCAACGGAUAAAAGGUACUCCGGGGAUAACAGGCUGAUACCGCCCAAGAGUUCAUAUCGACGGCGGUGUUUGGCACCUCGAUGUCGGCUCAUCACAUCCUGGGGCUGAAGUAGGUCCCAAGGGUAUGGCUGUUCGCCAUUUAAAGUGGUACGCGAGCUGGGUUUAGAACGUCGUGAGACAGUUCGGUCCCUAUCUGCCGUGGGCGCUGGAGAACUGAGGGGGGCUGCUCCUAGUACGAGAGGACCGGAGUGGACGCAUCACUGGUGUUCGGGUUGUCAUGCCAAUGGCACUGCCCGGUAGCUAAAUGCGGAAGAGAUAAGUGCUGAAAGCAUCUAAGCACGAAACUUGCCCCGAGAUGAGUUCUCCCUGACUCCCUGAGAGUCCUGAAGGAACGUUGAAGACGACGACGUUGAUAGGCCGGGUGUGUAAGCGCAGCGAUGCGUUGAGCUAACCGGUACUAAUGAACCGUGAGGCUUAACCUUACAACGCCGAAGCUGUU
This 2929-nucleotide ribosomal RNA is filed under the name Escherichia coli. RNAcentral describes it as "bacterial LSU rRNA". It matches the Rfam family "Bacterial large subunit ribosomal RNA". Lineage: Bacteria; Pseudomonadati; Pseudomonadota; Gammaproteobacteria; Enterobacterales; Enterobacteriaceae. The record is from RNAcentral.